UACGGAGGGGGCUAGCGUUGUUCGGAAUUACUGGGCGUAAAGCGCGCGUAGGCGGCUUUGCAAGUCGGGUGUGAAAUCUCCACGCUCAACGUGGAGGGGCCACUCGAUACUGCCAUGACUCGAGUCCGGUAGAGGAGUGUGGAAUUCCCGGUGUAGCGGUGAAAUGCGUAGAGAUCGGGAAGAACAUCGGUGGCGAAAGCGCUCUGCUGGACUGCAACUGACACUCAGGGACGAAAGCUAGGGGAGCGAAUGGG
Molecule: ribosomal RNA, 254 nt
Filed under: uncultured bacterium
Lineage: Bacteria
Description: partial 16S ribosomal RNA
Rfam family: Bacterial small subunit ribosomal RNA
Source: RNAcentral